Biomphalaria glabrata is the source of this 1145-nucleotide long non-coding RNA. RefSeq lists it as uncharacterized. The record is from RefSeq and is a predicted model, not a curated record. The transcript has 4 exons. NCBI's taxonomy places the organism in Eukaryota, Metazoa, Mollusca, Gastropoda, Planorbidae.
AUGUAAGGUUUAAGAACUUAGCAGACGUUGCUAAGGCGGUCAGGUAUUUGGACAGGUCGAAAUUUGGUAGUAGAAUAUUGUGUUUGUCCCUCAUCGUGUGAGCGCGAGAGGUUGGCGUGAUGAUUAAGUCGAUAAUCUAGUCGCAUCGGUCGAUUUGCGGGCGUGUUUUGAUAGGCUAGAACACACAUGAAAGUAUUGUGUUACUAUUGGGUUGAGUAAUCGAUGGGUGAGUUUAAGGUACAUGAUGAAGUUCAUGUAAUAGAGCAUAUGAUAUUGUAAAAAAAACACUUUGUCCUGUUUGAAUUUAGCAAUUGGAUUUGGGUUACGUAAUCUAGUUGCAUCUUCUUUCGUAUAGGAUGAAGACCGAUGCUUCGUAUGCUCAGCCAGUGUGUGAAUGGUGUUCUGCAUCCCGUCAGUAGGCCUAUGUGAGUCGAAAGUUGUUGCCUCGGGAGCAGAGGUAUUCGAACAUCGAGAGAGGCUUGGCUAUCGUAUUUGCCAUUAAAAAACUGGACAAGUACCUGGCUGGCGUGAAGUUUCACCUUCAAACUGACCACAAGGCCUUAGCGUAUCUACGGAGCACGAACUUUACGAUUCACCGAGUUACGAUGCUCCAGGAUUACAACUUCGAAAUGUGUGCCACAAACGAGAGGACAAUAGACUAGUUAACAGACUUGUGCUCAAGACUAGUGUCAUUCUAGUAUAAAGACAUAAAAAAAAAACAUUAUAGUAUAGUAUUGUUAUGUACAUAUAUGUAUCAUGGAUAUAUAUAUAUAUGUAAUUUUUAUGCAUUGCAAUGUUAUUUAUUAUUUUCAUAAGGGGUGUUAUUCUUUGCGGCAGCAUCUAUUUGAAUAGUUGCUUGUUCCUGACAAUCUGAAGGUUGUAUUCUUCGGCUUCAGAGAAAACCAACAAACUUUUCAAAGCUAAGAAAACCUUGCGACUAAGAAGUAAUAGUGAAGAAAGACGGAGAAAAACAAGACGAAAGUCGGAUUCCACACAAGAGCCAAGGAUAUUGUGUAACAUAAUUGUAUGUGUAUUGUACUAAGAAUGGAUCUGAAGGUUAGUGGGCUAUGUAAAUGUAUGCAAGCAUUAGACAGCCAUCAACCACAUCACUAUUGUUACAUUCUUUUCAAGUUACUCCAUCUGUC